Saccharopolyspora erythraea is the source of this 69-nucleotide non-coding RNA. It matches the Rfam family "ASpks TB sRNA". Lineage: Bacteria; Bacillati; Actinomycetota; Actinomycetes; Pseudonocardiales; Pseudonocardiaceae. The record is from Rfam.
CUUCACCGAGCCCAGCCACAGCGGCCGGUCCCGAUCCUGGCCGUAGGUCUCCAGCAACGCCUGCGCCUC